Molecule: ribosomal RNA, 731 nt
Filed under: Miconia conomacrantha
Lineage: Eukaryota; Viridiplantae; Streptophyta; Magnoliopsida; Myrtales; Melastomataceae
Description: eukaryotic LSU rRNA
Rfam family: 5.8S ribosomal RNA (bases 260-415)
Source: RNAcentral
GGAUCAUUGUCGAAAUCGAACGGAAGAACGACCCGCGAAUCGUCAUUGCGUAGUAGACAGAGCCCGUGAGCACCUAACGCUCACGGGUCUCGCGUCGCGUCGGCGCGGGUGUACUCGAGACCCGCGUCGUACCGGCGGACAAACAACGUCAGCACGGAUCGUGCCAAGGAGCUGCAUGGAGAGAAUCGUCGUCCCCCGCCUUUGAUAGUCCUCGACGCGGGACGGGGGACGUACGCAAUCUCUACUCAAAAGUCUAAACGACUCUCGGCAACGGAUAUCUCGGCUCUUGCAUCGAUGAAGAACGUAGCGAAAUGCGAUACUUGGUGUGAAUUGCAGAAUCCCGUGAACCAUCAAUUCUUUGAACGCAAGUUGCGCCCGAAGCCAUUCGGCCGAGGGCACGCCUGCCUGGGCGUCGUGAAUCCCCUUGCCCCUAGGCACCCGCACGAGCAUCGGCGGGGACAUAUGCUCGGGCGCAGAAUAUGGUCUCCCGUGGGAUCGGCAUGCACGGCAUGUCGAGGUGCGGUUGGCCGAAAAUCGAGCAUGGCGGUGACGGGCACCACGGCGUUCGGUGGAUCGAAUGAGAUUGGCUGCGUCGUGGGCUCGGCAUGCGGCGGGCUCCGGACUUUGAAUAUCCCCGAGUGCGAUCCCAGGUCAGGCGGGGCUACCCGCUGAGUUUAAGCAUAUCAAUAAGCGGAGGAAAAGAAACUAACGAGGAUUCCCUUAGUAGCGGC